Molecule: ribosomal RNA, 406 nt
Filed under: uncultured bacterium
Lineage: Bacteria
Description: partial 16S ribosomal RNA
Rfam family: Bacterial small subunit ribosomal RNA
Source: RNAcentral
AUUGAACGCUGGCGGCAUGCCUAACACAUGCAAGUCGAACGAGUGGCGGACGGGUGAAUCAUGUCUAGAACAUUCCCUUAUGGCUGGGGAUACCUCCUGGAAACGGUACCUAAUCCCUCAUACCAUUCACUUUUACCUGAUGGGAUUAGCUUGUUGGUGGGGUAACGGCUCACCAAGGCCACGAUCCCUAGCUGGUCUGAGAGGAUGACCAGCCACACUGGAACUGAGACACGGUCCAGACUCCUACGGGAGGCAGCAGUGGGGAAUAUUGCACAAUGGGCGCAAGCCUGAGGCAGCCAGGCCGCGUGUAUGAAGAAGGCCUUCGGGUUGUAAAGUACUGUCAGCAGGGAGGCGGUACCCGCAGAAGAAGCAACGGCUAACUACGUGCCAGCAGCCGCGGUAAUUC